Molecule: long non-coding RNA, 1049 nt
Organism: Macadamia integrifolia
Lineage: Eukaryota; Viridiplantae; Streptophyta; Magnoliopsida; Proteales; Proteaceae
Exons: 2
Source: RefSeq, a predicted model, not a curated record
GUCCUCUAGGACGACAACAUUGACAACCAAUUUCCCAUCACGUACCUGUCAUAGAGGACAACGUUCAUGUUAUAAGAUCAUCAGUUUGUGCUGUGGAGUUAUAAAGAAACCAUUAAGGAUGUGUUUGGUAUGUGUUCUUGGAACACAUUCUAGGCCUGGAGUGCAUUCUGAUAUGAAGAAAAUACUAUUUCGUAUGCAUUCUGGUUCAUGAGAUCCGGCAUGCAAUGGAGAACAAGACUCGUUUUAGAACGGGUAUAUUGGUCCAUUCCACGUUCUGAAAAAUUGGUGAUAAAACUUGUUCUGGAAGGCUGCGAUGAACUCGACUUCAUCCUUGACCUUUCAUCCUCGACCUAGAGAGCAGCGAGAGAAAACCUCUAAGGGGAGCUUCAUGGAGAAGAAUCUGUGAGCUGAGGGAGCUUCAGCGAUCAACCCUCUCUGUCGACUUCUCCUCAAACCCUAACGCCUCAAAAGCCCCUUGAUAUAAGUGAAAUUGGGGAACAAGAAGUCGAAGUAGAAGAGGAGAUGAAUCAGGAGGACGCAAUUGGAGUAAUUACGAAGCCAAAAAGGUGAAAGAGAGUGAUGGAUGUGCCUUCGAAGUAUCAGGAUUCAGUUCUUCAGCCUUGGAAGCGUCAGAAUCUAAGGAGAUCAAUAGGUACGGAAGAUGACUGAGCCGUCUAAUGGAUGGGUAUUCUGAUGUGGGUUUUCUAUCUCUGAUGUUAUUAUGGUAAGCUGAUAUUCUCUUCUCCAUGGAGAUUUGCAGAGAUCGAGGUCUGAACGAAUACCUUUAUUUACUGGAAGUGAAUGAAUUUCAUAAUUAGAUUUUUCAUCAUCUUCUCCUUUUUCUCUUGCAAUUUUGAUGUUACGAAAAAAAAUUAAUUCUAGAGAAAUAGAAAAUGUCUAUGGGGUUUUGGUAUGAGUUCCAGAUCUUUAUAAUCUGAGAUGGAUCCAUGAACUCUUCAUGUAAAUCUGGCGUGAUCCCAAGAACAAUUAUUGCAGAAGGGAGAUUUUGAUGCAUUAUGUAGAAAUUUAUCACUUCCAAGUUCUUCUUA